This 108-nucleotide non-coding RNA is filed under the name Virgibacillus sp. SK37. RNAcentral describes it as "TPP riboswitch aptamer (THI element)". It matches the Rfam family "TPP riboswitch aptamer (THI element)". Rfam says of the family: Vitamin B(1) in its active form thiamin pyrophosphate (TPP) is an essential coenzyme that is synthesised by coupling of pyrimidine and thiazole moieties in bacteria. The previously detected thiamin-regulatory element, thi box was extended, resulting in a new, highly conserved RNA secondary structure, the THI element, which is widely distributed in eubacteria and also occurs in some archaea. The record is from Rfam by way of RNAcentral. RNAcentral also lists the same sequence under 1 other name. Lineage: Bacteria; Bacillati; Bacillota; Bacilli; Caryophanales; Bacillaceae.
GUAUUACACUGGGGGUGCUGCAUAAGCGGCUGAGAGAAACAGAUUUGUUUUAACCCUUCGAACUCGAACUAGAUAAUCCUAGCGUGGGGAAUGAGGUCACCUUUGUAA